RNAcentral lists this ribosomal RNA (496 nucleotides) under uncultured bacterium. RNAcentral describes it as "partial 16S ribosomal RNA". It matches the Rfam family "Bacterial small subunit ribosomal RNA", at positions 28 to 507 of the family's 1533-position model. The record is from RNAcentral.
GAUGAACGCUGGCGGCGUGCCUAAUACAUGCAAGUCGAGCGAACGGACGAGAAGCUUGCUUCUCUGAUGUUAGCGGCGGACGGGUGAGUAACACGUGGAUAACCUACCUAUAAGACUGGGAUAACUUCGGGAAACCGUAGCUAUACCGGAUAAUAUUUUUAACCCCCUGUUUCAAAAAUGAAAGACGGUCUUUCUGUCACUUAUAUAUGGGUCCGCGCUGCAUUAGCUAGUUGGUAAGGUAACGGCUUACCAAGGCAACGAUGCAUAGCCGACCUGAGAGGGUGAUCGGCCACACUGGAACUGAGACACGGUCCAGACUCCUACGGGAGGCAGCAGUAGGGAAUCUUCCACAAUGGGCGAAAGCCUGACGGAGCAACGCCGCGUGAGUGAUGAAGGUCUUCGGAUCGUAAAACUCUGUUAUUAGGGAAGAACAUAUGUGUAAGUAACUGUGCACAUCUUGACGGUACCUAAUCAGAAAGCCACGGCUAACUACGUG